Molecule: transfer RNA, 72 nt
Filed under: Bos taurus (domestic cattle)
Lineage: Eukaryota; Metazoa; Chordata; Mammalia; Artiodactyla; Bovidae
Also listed under: 1 other name
Rfam family: tRNA
About the family: Transfer RNA (tRNA) molecules are approximately 80 nucleotides in length.
Source: Rfam by way of RNAcentral
UCCCUGGAGGUCUGGCGGCUAAGACUCUGUGCUCCCAAUCCAGGGACCCGGGUUCAAUCCCUGGUCAGGGAA